RNAcentral lists this transfer RNA (73 nucleotides) under Cetonurus globiceps (globehead grenadier). RNAcentral's name for it is "tRNA-Leu". It matches the Rfam family "tRNA". Rfam says of the family: Transfer RNA (tRNA) molecules are approximately 80 nucleotides in length. Their secondary structure includes four short double-helical elements and three loops (D, anti-codon, and T loops). Lineage: Eukaryota; Metazoa; Chordata; Actinopteri; Gadiformes; Macrouridae. The record is from RNAcentral.
AUUGCUAAAGGAUAAUAGCUCAUCCAUUGGUCUUAGGAACCAAAAACUCUCGGUGCAAAUCCAAGUAGCAAUU